RNAcentral lists this ribosomal RNA (814 nucleotides) under uncultured bacterium. RNAcentral describes it as "bacterial SSU rRNA". It matches the Rfam family "Bacterial small subunit ribosomal RNA", at positions 8 to 796 of the family's 1533-position model. The record is from RNAcentral.
AGAGUUUGAUCCUGGCUCAGAACGAACGCUGGCGGCGUGCCUAACACAUGCAAGUCGUGCGAGAAAAGGGGGGCAACUCCCUGAGUACAGCGGCGCACGGGUGAGUAACACGUAGGUAACCUACCCUCGAGCCUGGGAUAACCUACCGAAAGGUGGGCUAAUACCGGAUGUGACCACGGGAGUUUCGGCUCCUGAGGUAAAAGAUGGCCUCUGCUUGCAAGCUAUCACUCGUGGAGGGGCCUGCGCGCCAUUAGCUAGUUGGCGGGGUAAUGGCCCACCAAGGCUCUGAUGGCUAGCUGGUCUGAGAGGAUGACCAGCCACACUGGGACUGAAACACGGCCCAGACUCCUACGGGAGGCAGCAGUGGGGGAUAUUGCGCAAUGGGCGAAAGCCUGACGCAGCGACGCCGCGUGGGUGAUGAAGGCCUUCGGGUCGUAAAGCCCUGUCGAGGGGGACGAACCGGCCGCGACCUAAUACGUCGCGACCCUGACGGUACCCCUAAAGGAAGCACCGGCUAACUCCGUGCCAGCAGCCGCGGUAAUACGGAGGGUGCGAGCGUUGUUCGGAAUCACUGGGCGUAAAGCGCGUGUAGGCGGCCUGCUAAGUCUGAUGUGAAAGCCCGAGGCUCACCCUCGGAAGUGCAUUGGAAACUGGCAGACUGGAGUCCCGGAGAGGAGGGUGGAAUUCCUGGUGUAGCGGUGAAAUGCGUAGAUAUCAGGAGGAACACCGGUGGCGAAGGCGGCCCUCUGGACGGUGACUGACGCUGAGACGCGAAAGCGUGGGGAGCAAACAGGAUUAGAUACCCUAGUAGUCC